This 775-nucleotide ribosomal RNA is filed under the name uncultured Neocallimastigales. Its description in RNAcentral is "partial large subunit ribosomal RNA". It matches the Rfam family "Eukaryotic large subunit ribosomal RNA", at positions 24 to 640 of the family's 3401-position model. The record is from RNAcentral. Lineage: Eukaryota; Fungi; Neocallimastigomycota; Neocallimastigomycetes; Neocallimastigales.
UACGACUACAUAUCAGGCAUAUCAAUAAGCGGAGGAAAAGAAACUAGCAAGGAUUCCCCUAGUAACGGCGAGUGAAGCGGGAAGAGCUCAAAUUUGAAAUCUUCAAGGUUCUACCUUGACGAAUUGUAGUUUAAAGAAGUGUUUUCUGUUAGAGGAGUAGCAAAAGUUCCUUGGAAUAGGACAUCAUAGAGGGUGAGAAUCCCGUAUUUGGUUAUUCUUUCUAGCUUUGUGAUACACUUUCAAAGAGUCGGAUUGUUUGGGAAUGCAGUCCAAAAUGGGUGGUAAAUUUCAUCUAAAGCUAAAUAUUGGCGAGAGACCGAUAGCGAACAAGUACCGUGAGGGAAAGAUGAAAAGAACUUUGAAAAGAGAGUUAAACAGUACGUGAAAUUGUCAAAAGGGAAGCGUUUGACACCAGUGUUGUUUUUCCGAAAAUCAAUUAAGAAGGGCUUGAUUUUGUGUUGUAUUGACCUUAUCAGCUUUCUUCACUCUUUUUCGAGUCUUUCUUAAUGCACUUUUCGGUUAACAAGUCAACAUCAAUUUCUUUUGUUGUAAAAGGGUAUUUGGAAGGUGGCUUUCUUUUCGGAGAAAGUGUUUAUAGCCUUAUACCUCUACAAUCGGAGAGAUUGAGGUCUGCAGCGUAGAUCCUUCGGGGCUAGAUACACUUGUGCUAAGUUAUAGCUUUUCAUAGACAACUUGUUGACUAUGUUUAGUCAUGUAGCUUACCCGCUUGUGCUAUUUUACCUACGCUUAGGAUGUUGAUCUACAGAGCGAGAGU